UACGGAGGGAGCUAGCGUUGUUCGGAAUUACUGGGCGUAAGGCGCACGUAGGCGGUUAUUCAAGUCAGAGGUGAAAGCCCGGGGCUCAACCCCGGACUGCCUUUGAAACUAGAUAACUAGAAUCUUGGAGAGGUCAGUGGAAUUCCGAGUGUAGAGGUGAAAUUCGUAGAUAUUCGGAAGAACACCAGUGGCGAAGGCGACUGACUGGACAAGUAUUGACGCUGAGGUGCGAAAGCGUGGGGAGCAAACAGGAUUAGAAACCCUGGUAGU
This 270-nucleotide ribosomal RNA is filed under the name uncultured bacterium. Its description in RNAcentral is "partial 16S ribosomal RNA". It matches the Rfam family "Bacterial small subunit ribosomal RNA", at positions 524 to 794 of the family's 1533-position model. The record is from RNAcentral.